GGUAUGUAAUAUGUUGCGCUAAACUAAGUGUUCCAUUUUAAGUCCAAUUCAUUAAAUGUAUGCAAUAACUUCAAACAUAUUUUUACGUCAAUGAUUAUCAAUAGGAGAAAGUCAUCGCUCUGUAAUUGGCCCUUGGACUCCCCUGGCAUCUCGUGUACAGCAUGAAGUUUUCAGCUAUGAAGAUUUCCAGAGACUCCAGAAUGAAAAACAAGCCGUGAUGGAUGAGAACCAAGCUCUGAGGGAGGAGCACCAAGCUCUGAGGGAAAGCACUGCACGAGCAGCUUCGGAUGACAGCGGCUCACUUCAAGAGCAGGUGAAGCAAGUUGGGACAAUGUUGAAGACGUUUGCUCGCACUGGGCAAUCAGGUGCAGAUCAGACCUUAAUGCUGCGACGUCUUGGAGAGUUUUGGCGAUGUUGUGCGUAGCAUGGACAACAAAAUGGACACUAUGCUGCAACAUUUCAGUGCCAAUGUGUCUGUUGGAGAGUUAUCCCUGCCAGGGGAUCUGUUACUCCCUCUAGACACCCAGGAAGAUUUGGCGUUGCUUGACAACAGUUUGAGGCAGGAUAAAGAGCUCCAGGAACGAUUUCUUCGGUUUUUUGGCAAUCAAAUGUGGGAGGGACCUAAAGAUAACCGUCUGGCGUAUGCUUCAAAGUACCUUCUCUAAUCACCUUUCCAUCAAUACAACCUGGACUGGAGUUGGGGAUAAAGCAUGUUUUAGAGACAUGUUCCUGAAGACCAUUGUUCAAAAUCUGUAUUUUCUACAGGAGCCAUCCGGAAGA
Cyprinus carpio (common carp) is the source of this 780-nucleotide long non-coding RNA. RefSeq lists it as uncharacterized. The record is from RefSeq and is a predicted model, not a curated record. NCBI's taxonomy places the organism in Eukaryota, Metazoa, Chordata, Actinopteri, Cypriniformes, Cyprinidae. The transcript has 6 exons.